UACGUAGGGUGCGAGCGUUAAUCGGAAUUACUGGGCGUAAAGCGUGCGCAGGCGGUUCGUUAAGUCAGAUGUGAAAGCCCCGGGCUCAACCUGGGAACUGCAUUUGAAACUGGCGGGCUUGAGUGUGGCAGAGGGGGGUGGAAUUCCGCGUGUAGCAGUGAAAUGCGUAGAGAUGCGGAGGAACACCGAUGGCGAAGGCAGCCCCCUGGGCUAGCACUGACGCUCAGGCACGAAAGCGUGGGGAGCAAACAGG
RNAcentral lists this ribosomal RNA (253 nucleotides) under uncultured bacterium. RNAcentral's name for it is "partial 16S ribosomal RNA". It matches the Rfam family "Bacterial small subunit ribosomal RNA", at positions 524 to 776 of the family's 1533-position model. The record is from RNAcentral.